CUGGUUUUCUGCGAAAGUUGUUUUAGCAAAAUGUUUAUCAGUAAUAUUAGUAGGUAUAGCACUGAAUAUUUGUAAUUUUAAAGAGGGAGUAUUGCGUGUACUUAUCUCGGGUAUUUAAUCUCAGAAUGACUGAUAUUGAAAGAUAAAUGAUCGGACUACUUGCGAUAAGGUAGGUAGUCAAAAGGGGAACAGCCCAGAACAGAGGAUAAAGCUCCCCAAUUAAUAUUAAGUGAGAAUUCCCA
This 242-nucleotide ribosomal RNA is filed under the name Pneumocystis carinii. RNAcentral's name for it is "partial large subunit ribosomal RNA". It matches the Rfam family "Bacterial large subunit ribosomal RNA", at positions 849 to 1075 of the family's 2925-position model. Lineage: Eukaryota; Fungi; Ascomycota; Pneumocystomycetes; Pneumocystales; Pneumocystaceae. The record is from RNAcentral.